CCUACGGGAGGCAGCAGUGGGGGAUAUUGCACAAUGGGGGAAACCCUGAUGCAGCGACGCCGCGUGGGUGAAGAAGGAUUUCGGUAUGUAAAGCCCUAUCAGCAGGGAAGAAGAAAUGACGGUACCUGAGUAAGAAGCACCGGCUAAAUACGGGCCAGAAGCCGCGGUAAUACGAAUGGUGCAAGCGUUAUCCGGAUUUACUGGGUGAAAAGGGAGCGCAGGCGGGAUGGCAAGGCUGAUGUGAAAGGCCGGGGCCCAACCGCGGGACUGCAUUGGGAACUGCCGGGCUGGAGUGCCGGAGAGGUAGGCGGAAUUCCUAGUGUAGCGGUGAAAUGCGUAGAUAUGAGGAGGAACACCAGUGGCGAAGGCGGCCUACUGGACGGUGACUGACGCUGAGGCUCGAAAGCGUGGGGAGCAAACAGGAUUAGAUACCCGAGUAGUC
RNAcentral lists this ribosomal RNA (442 nucleotides) under uncultured bacterium. RNAcentral's name for it is "partial 16S ribosomal RNA". It matches the Rfam family "Bacterial small subunit ribosomal RNA", at positions 338 to 795 of the family's 1533-position model. The record is from RNAcentral.